UACAGGGGGAGCAAGCGUUAUCCGGAAUGAUUGGGCGUAAAGCGUCUGUAGGUGGCUUGAGAAGUCUACUGUCAAAAACCUGGGCUCAACCCUUGAUAGGCGGUAGAGUACUCUCGAGCUAGAGUUUGGUAGAGGUAGAGGGAACUUUUUGUGGAGCGGUGAAAUGCGUAGAUAUAAAGAGGAACACCAGUGGCGAAGGCGCUCUACUGGGCCAUAACUGACACUGAGAGACGAAAGCAAAGGGAGCAAAUAGG
Molecule: ribosomal RNA, 254 nt
Filed under: uncultured bacterium
Lineage: Bacteria
Description: partial 16S ribosomal RNA
Rfam family: Bacterial small subunit ribosomal RNA
Source: RNAcentral